CAUUAAAACAACGGUUCCCAUAAUAUCACCGAAGUUAAGCAACAUCGAACUUGGGCAGUACCUAUAUGGGUGACCGCUUGGGAAUACCAGGUGCUGUAA
Molecule: non-coding RNA, 99 nt
Organism: Acanthosepion pharaonis
Lineage: Eukaryota; Metazoa; Mollusca; Cephalopoda; Sepiida; Sepiidae
Source: the annotation of a GenBank genome assembly